GAGACAGGGACGAGGCAGAGCAUGGGAUGGGGCCAUCAACAAAAUUUCCAAUUUCCGUUUGCUUGCUCACAAAACGAAGGUGCCUGCCUCCCUGGUGAUGGCCUGACCUGAGAGGGCUGAGAGCUCAGCUGGUGUCCUGGUGUUGUUGCUUCCACCCCUGCACUGCCUCUUCCCUGGCUC
Molecule: microRNA precursor, 180 nt
Filed under: Saccharum sp.
Lineage: Eukaryota; Viridiplantae; Streptophyta; Magnoliopsida; Poales; Poaceae
Description: miR408d stem-loop (ssp-MIR408d)
Gene: ssp-MIR408d
Rfam family: MIR408 microRNA precursor family
Source: miRBase by way of RNAcentral